Molecule: long non-coding RNA, 376 nt
Organism: Suricata suricatta (meerkat)
Lineage: Eukaryota; Metazoa; Chordata; Mammalia; Carnivora; Herpestidae
Exons: 4
Source: RefSeq, a predicted model, not a curated record
GCCCGUCCUCGGAUCUCCCCCGUUCGCCCCCACUCACUCAGACAAAUCAGAAACCAUGAGCCUGAUUCCCAAAGAAUAAAAGAAGAGGGUAGAAAGAAAAAGCAUUUUCUUUGUGGAGUUGUACUACAUACUGGAGGAAUCUAAUUACUUUUUUUGUGGAGCUGGUGGCUGUAUGCAAGUUCUUUACCUGUUGCAUUAUGGUCUCCUAUAUCCUUUUCUAUGGAGGACUUAAUGUAUCUGUGGCUAUUGCAACUUAAAAGGCCUAAGGAGCAUGCUGUUCUAUAAAUAUAACAGUGGCAGCAACAAGCACAUCUUUCUUUUGAUUUUAGAAUAAUUUUAAACCUAUAUUGGAUUCAAAGGAAAAAUAAAAUCAAUA